This is a long non-coding RNA of Centrocercus urophasianus (Greater sage-grouse), 468 nucleotides long. RefSeq lists it as uncharacterized. The transcript is spliced from 4 exons. Lineage: Eukaryota; Metazoa; Chordata; Aves; Galliformes; Phasianidae. The record is from RefSeq and is a predicted model, not a curated record.
GCAACUCUCCAGCAAGAAUGUCAAUGGUUUACGGGCUGGUUCAGCCCACUUCGUGACUAGCAGGGUGGAGGAAUUUCACAAAAUCCGCACCUCUGGAAAAAGGGAAACAGGGGACCCCAAAAUAAUUGAAAACAGCGGCAACGAUCUGAGGAGAAACAAACUAAUUUACUAAAUACGAUAUCGGAAUGCAAGCCUACGUUACAUCCCUGGGUGCUUGGGUAGUGUCAUGUGAGUACCCCCUGAGUUGACCAUCUCCCUCAAGACAAAAGAUUUUGCAAACCUUGCCCAAGGCCUUGUCCAUCAGUGUUCUCCAAACAAAGGAUUUCUCAACCCUUGAUCAGGACUUGCUUGGACUUGUGACCUGUGGAACACCACUCAGACUCACAGAGAGUCAGAAUGAAGAAACCAUGUCAAUAUGUAUGAAACAACAGGAUGUCACCGUUUGCACAUAUGUCAUUGAGAUCUAGG